UCCGAGAGAGACCGCUUUUUGCGGCGCCGAAGGGGAAUGCAAAAACUCUCAGGCAAAAAGAUCGG
RNAcentral lists this non-coding RNA (65 nucleotides) under bovine gut metagenome. RNAcentral describes it as "Glycine riboswitch". It matches the Rfam family "Glycine riboswitch aptamer", at positions 10 to 85 of the family's 94-position model. Rfam says of the family: This family represents the bacterial glycine riboswitch. The record is from RNAcentral.